GGGCCAUAGCUUAGUGGGAGAGCACCUGUGUUGCAUGCAGAAGCUCCCGGGUUCAAACCCCGGGAUCUCCA
Podarcis lilfordi (Lilford's wall lizard) is the source of this 71-nucleotide non-coding RNA. The record is from the annotation of a GenBank genome assembly. NCBI's taxonomy places the organism in Eukaryota, Metazoa, Chordata, Lepidosauria, Squamata, Lacertidae.